This 249-nucleotide small RNA is filed under the name Jaculus jaculus (lesser Egyptian jerboa). Its description in RNAcentral is "7SK RNA (ENSJJAG00000009345.1)". The stretch from base 1 to 199 matches the Rfam family "7SK RNA". Rfam says of the family: 7SK was discovered as an abundant small nuclear RNA in the mid-70s but a possible function has only recently been suggested. Two independent studies have found that 7SK RNA binds the CDK9/cyclin T complex (known as elongation factor P-TEFb). The record is from RNAcentral. Lineage: Eukaryota; Metazoa; Chordata; Mammalia; Rodentia; Dipodidae.
GGAUGUGAGGGCAAUCUGGCUGCGACGUCUGAUGUCUGUCACCCCAUUGAUCACCAGGGUUGGUUAAGCUGAUCUGGCUGGCUAGGAGGGUGUUCCUUUCCUCCCUCACCGCUCCACGUGUGUGCCUCCAGGAAGCUGUGCCCUUAGUGGACGAGGAUGACUUUCCCCAAAUCUAAAAUUUUCAAAUGUCUUUUGUUGUCAUGUGGAACUCAUCUCUUUCCCAUCUGUAUUUUAUGCGCAGGUGUUUAC